GGACUACCGGGGUAUCUAAUCCCGUUCGCUCCCCACGCUUUCGCACCUCAGCGUCAGAUAUGACCCAGCAAGUCGCCUUCGCCACUGGUAUUCCUCCGGAUCUCUACGCAUUUCACCACUCCACCCGGAAUUCUACUUGCCUCUGUCCAUCUCUAGUCAUUCAGUUUGGUACGUCCUCUCCCAGUUGAGCCAGGAGCUUUCACGCACCACUUAAACCACCGCCUACGCGCGCUUUACGCCCAGUAAUUCCGGAUAACGCUCGCCUCCUACGUUUUACCGCGGCUGCUGGCACC
Molecule: unclassified non-coding RNA, 293 nt
Filed under: uncultured fungus
Lineage: Eukaryota; Fungi
Description: sequence contains ITS1
Source: RNAcentral